Molecule: ribosomal RNA, 480 nt
Filed under: uncultured bacterium
Lineage: Bacteria
Description: bacterial SSU rRNA
Rfam family: Bacterial small subunit ribosomal RNA
Source: RNAcentral
GAUGAACGCUGGCGGCGUGCUUAACACAUGCAAGUCGAGCGAGAAGGUUGUUAUGGAGUCUUCGGACGAAAUAAUAACUGGAAAGCGGCGGACGGGUGAGUAACGCGUGGGCAACCUACCUUGUACAGAGGGAUAGCUACUGGAAACGGUGAUUAAUACCUCAUAAAACUAAAGCAUCGCAUGAUGCUGUAGUCAAAACUCCGGUGGUACAAGAUGGGCCCGCGUCUGAUUAGUUAGUUGGUGGGGGUAGAGGCCUACCAAGGCGACGAUCAGUAGCCGACCUGAGAGGGUGAACGGCCACACUGGAACUGAGACACGGUCCAGACUCCUACGGGAGGCAGCAGUGGGGAAUAUUGCACAAUGGGCGAAAGCCUGAUGCAGCAACGCCGCGUGAGCGAAGAAGGCCUUCGGGUUGUAAAGCUCUGUCCUAAGGGAAGAAGAAUGACGGUACCUUAGGAGGAAGCCCCGGCUAACUACGUG